This 71-nucleotide transfer RNA is filed under the name Candidatus Kaiserbacteria bacterium RIFCSPHIGHO2_02_FULL_49_16. RNAcentral's name for it is "tRNA-Ala". It matches the Rfam family "tRNA". Rfam says of the family: Transfer RNA (tRNA) molecules are approximately 80 nucleotides in length. Their secondary structure includes four short double-helical elements and three loops (D, anti-codon, and T loops). Further hydrogen bonds mediate the characteristic L-shaped molecular structure. tRNAs have two regions of fundamental functional importance: the anti-codon, which is responsible for specific mRNA codon recognition, and the 3' end, to which the tRNAs corresponding amino acid is attached (by aminoacyl-tRNA synthetases). tRNAs cope with the degeneracy of the genetic code in two manners: having more than one tRNA (with a specific anti-codon) for a particular amino acid; and 'wobble' base-pairing, i.e. permitting non-standard base-pairing at the 3rd anti-codon position. RNAcentral also lists the same sequence under 1 other name. Lineage: Bacteria; Candidatus Kaiseribacteriota. The record is from RNAcentral.
GGGCCCAUAGUAAAGUGGUAUUACGCGUCCAUGGCAUGGACGAGGGCCGGGUCCGAUUCCCGGUGGGUCCA